CAACAAUUUUGGACAGAACAGUCAGGUUGAUCUACUCGUCACAUGUAGCACAUUCUGUUACAACCUUUGUCCAAUCUUUUUCGCUUUCGAUUCAUUAAAAAAACUCAUCAUAGAUACCAGGAUUAAAUUUUGUAUUUAAGCCAGACGCGCGUUUCGUUUAUAAAAGACUAAUUAGUGACGCUCGAAUUCAAAAAAAUUAAAAAGGCCAAAUAAAAUACGAAUUUGAAGAGCAUUAAGAACCAAAAUUCCUAGAAGUUUUGCGAAAUACAGGUAAUAUAAUCCUGAGGUAGAAAAGCCUUAG
Molecule: long non-coding RNA, 301 nt
Filed under: Mytilus galloprovincialis (Mediterranean mussel)
Lineage: Eukaryota; Metazoa; Mollusca; Bivalvia; Mytilida; Mytilidae
Source: RNAcentral